RNAcentral lists this ribosomal RNA (858 nucleotides) under uncultured organism. RNAcentral describes it as "SSU rRNA". It matches the Rfam family "Bacterial small subunit ribosomal RNA", at positions 43 to 901 of the family's 1533-position model. The record is from RNAcentral.
CGUGCCUAAUACAUGCAAGUCGAACGCACCGCUUCGGUGGUGAGUGGCGAACGGGUGAGUAAUACAUAAGUAACCUGGCCUUUCGAGGGGGAUAACUAUUGGAAACGAUAGCUAAGACCGCAUAGGCAUAAUUCUCGCAUGAGAGUUAUGUUAAAUAUCCCAAGGGAUAGCGAGAGGAUGGACUUAUGGCGCAUUAGCUAGUUGGUGAGGGUAACGGCCCACCAAGGCGACGAUGCGUAGCCGACCUGAGAGGGUGGACGGCCACACUGGGACUGAGACACGGCCCAGACUCCUACGGGAGGCAGCAGUAGGGAAUUUUCGGCAAUGGGCGAAAGCCUGACCGAGCAACGCCGCGUGAGGGAGGAAGUAUUUCGGUAUGUAAACCUCUGUUAUAAAGGAAGAACGGCGCAUGUAGGGAAUGACAUGCGAGUGACGGUACUUUAUGAGAAAGCCACGGCUAACUACGUGCCAGCAGCCGCGGUAAUACGUAGGUGGCGAGCGUUAUCCGGAAUCAUUGGGCGUAAAGAGGGAGCAGGCGGCAACUAGGGUCUGCGGUAAAAGACCGAAGCUAAACUUCGGUAAGCCGUGGAAACCGAGGAGCUAGAGUGCAGUAGAGGAUCGUGGAAUUCCAUGUGUAGCGGUGAAAUGCGUAGAUAUAUGGAGGAACACCAGUGGCGAAGGCGACGAUCUGGGCUGCAACUGACGCUCAGUCCCGAAAGCGUGGGGAGCAAAUAGGAUUAGAUACCCUAGUAGUCCACGCCGUACACGAUGAGUACUAAGUGUUGGGGGUCAGACCUCAGUGCUGCAGUUAACGCAAUAAGUACUCCGCCUGAGUAGUACGUUCGCAAGAAUGAAACU